GACGGGGGAUGCAAGUGUUAUCCGGAAUCACUGGGCGUAAAGCGUCUGCAGGUGGUUUCCUAAGUCCACUGUUAAACCUUGAGGCUCAACCUCAAAUCUGCAUUGGAAACUAGGAGACUUGAGUAUAGUAGGGGUAGAGGGAAUUUCCAGUGGAGCGGUGAAAUGCGUAGAUAUUGGAAAGAACACCGAUGGCGAAGGCAGCCCCCUGGGUCAAGAUUGACGCUCAUGCACGAAAGCGUGGGGAGCAAACAGG
RNAcentral lists this ribosomal RNA (253 nucleotides) under uncultured bacterium. RNAcentral describes it as "partial 16S ribosomal RNA". It matches the Rfam family "Bacterial small subunit ribosomal RNA", at positions 524 to 776 of the family's 1533-position model. The record is from RNAcentral.